AUACCUAACUGGCAGGGGAGAUACCAAGAUCACCAAGGUGGCUUCCCCAGGACGAGGCUUACCCAUUGCCCUCCAGAUAUGCUGACCCCUGAUAUUUCUCCAAAUGUGGGAAACUCUAUUGCAUAAUGUGUGGUAGUGGGAAACUGUGCUCUCCCCU
RNAcentral lists this small nuclear RNA (157 nucleotides) under Dasypus novemcinctus (nine-banded armadillo). RNAcentral describes it as "U1 spliceosomal RNA (ENSDNOG00000026417.1)". It matches the Rfam family "U1 spliceosomal RNA". From Rfam's summary of the family: U1 is a small nuclear RNA (snRNA) component of the spliceosome (involved in pre-mRNA splicing). Its 5' end forms complementary base pairs with the 5' splice junction, thus defining the 5' donor site of an intron. There are significant differences in sequence and secondary structure between metazoan and yeast U1 snRNAs, the latter being much longer (568 nucleotides as compared to 164 nucleotides in human). The record is from RNAcentral. Lineage: Eukaryota; Metazoa; Chordata; Mammalia; Cingulata; Dasypodidae.